RNAcentral lists this ribosomal RNA (700 nucleotides) under uncultured fungus. RNAcentral describes it as "eukaryotic LSU rRNA". It matches the Rfam family "Eukaryotic large subunit ribosomal RNA", at positions 65 to 783 of the family's 3401-position model. Lineage: Eukaryota; Fungi. The record is from RNAcentral.
CCAACAGGGAUUGCCCCAGUAACGGCGAGUGAAGCGGCAAGAGCUCAAAUUUGAAAUCUGGCCCCCCCGGGGCCCGAGUUGUAAUUUGCAGAGGAUGCUUCGGGUCCGGCCCCGGUCUAAGUCCCCUGGAACGGGGCGUCACGGAGGGUGAGAAUCCCGUCUGGGAUCGCCGGCCGGGCCCGUGUGAAGCUCCUUCGACGAGUCGAGUUGUUUGGGAAUGCAGCUCCAAGUGGGUGGUAAAUUUCAUCUAAAGCUAAAUACUGGCCGGAGACCGAUAGCGCACAAGUAGAGUGAUCGAAAGAUGAAAAGCACUUUGAAAAGAGAGUUAAACAGCAUGUGAAAUUGUUGAAAGGGAAGCGCUUGCGACCAGACUCGCCCGCGGGGGCUCAGCCGGCAUUCUUGCCGGUGCACUCCCCCGCGGUCGGGCCAGCGUCGGUUUGGGCGGUCGGUCAAAGGCCCCCGGAAUGUGUCGCCUCUCGGGGCGUCUUAUAGCCGGGGGUGCAAUGCGGCCUGCCUGGACCGAGGAACGCGCUUCGGCACGGACGCUGGCGUAAUGGUCGUAAGCGGCCCGUCUUGAAACACGGACCAAGGAGUCUAACAUCUACGCGAGUGUUCGGGUGUCAAACCCGUCCGCGCAGUGAAAGCGAACGGAGGUGGGAGCCCUGAAGGGUGCACCAUCGACCGAUCCUGAAGUCUUCGG